This 460-nucleotide ribosomal RNA is filed under the name uncultured bacterium. Its description in RNAcentral is "partial 16S ribosomal RNA". It matches the Rfam family "Bacterial small subunit ribosomal RNA", at positions 338 to 795 of the family's 1533-position model. The record is from RNAcentral.
CCUACGGGCGGCAGCAGUGAGGAAUAUUGGUCAAUGGCCGAGAGGCUGAACCAGCCAAGUCGCGUGAGGGAAGACGGCCCUACGGGUUGUAAACCUCUUUUGUCGGGGAGCAAAGAGAGUCACGUGUGACUCAUUGAGAGUACCCGAAGAAAAAGCAUCGGCUAACUACGUGCCAGCAGCCGCGGUAAUACGUAGGGAGCAAGCGUUAUCCGGAUUUACUGGGUGUAAAGGGCGUGUAGGCGGGCAUGCAAGCCAGAAGUGAAAUCUGGGGGCUUAACCCCCAAACUGCUUUUGGAACUGCGUGUCUUGAGUGAUGGAGAGGCAGGCGGAAUUCCCAGUGUAGCGGUGAAAUGCGUAGAUAUUGGGAGGAACACCAGUGGCGAAGGCGGCCUGCUGGACAUUAACUGACGCUGAGGCGCGAAAGCGUGGGGAGCAAACAGGAUUAGAUACCCCAGUAGUC